GAUGAACGCUGACAGAAUGCUUAACACAUGCAAGUCUUUGGCGAAGCUGUGCUCGCACAGCCUAGCCAAGGCGGACGGGUGAGUAACGCGUAAGGAACUUGCCCUGCAGUCAGGGAUAACAGACGGAAACGACUGAUAAGACCUGGUAAAGUCAGGCGGACUCAUGUCCAGCCUGAUGAAAAGAGAUGCUGCAGGAGAGCCUUGCGUCCUAUUAGCUUGUUGGUGGGGUAACGGCCCACCAAGGCGAUGAUAGGUAGCCGGCCUGAGAGGGUGGACGGCCACAAGGGGACUGGGAGACGGCCCUUACUCCUACGGGAGGCAGCAGUGGGGAAUAUUGGACAAUGGGGGCAACCCUGAUCCAGCAAUUCUGCGUGCACGAUGAAGGUUUUCGGAUUGUAAAGUGCUUUCAGCAGGGAAGAAAAAAAUGACGGUACCUGCAGAAGAAGCGACGGCUAAAUACGUG
RNAcentral lists this ribosomal RNA (463 nucleotides) under uncultured bacterium. RNAcentral's name for it is "partial 16S ribosomal RNA". It matches the Rfam family "Bacterial small subunit ribosomal RNA", at positions 28 to 507 of the family's 1533-position model. The record is from RNAcentral.